AUUGAACGCUGGCGGCAUGCUUUACACAUGCAAGUCGAACGGCAGCGCGGGGGCAACCCUGGCGGCGAGUGGCGAACGGGUGAGUAAUGCAUCGGAACGUAUCCUGUAAUGGGGGAUAACGUAGCGAAAGUUACGCUAAUACCGCAUACGCUCGAGAGAGGAAAGUGGGGGAUCGCAAGACCUCACGUUAUAGGAGCGGCCGAUGUCCGAUUAGCUAGUUGGUGGGGUAAAGGCCUACCAAGGCGACGAUCGGUAGCUGGUCUGAGAGGAUGAUCAGCCACACUGGGACUGAGACACGGCCCAGACUCCUACGGGAGGCAGCAGUGGGGAAUUUUGGACAAUGGGCGAAAGCCUGAUCCAGCCAUGCCGCGUGCGGGAAGAAGGCCUCGGUGUAACGCUUAGUCGAAA
This 408-nucleotide ribosomal RNA is filed under the name uncultured bacterium. RNAcentral describes it as "bacterial SSU rRNA". It matches the Rfam family "Bacterial small subunit ribosomal RNA", at positions 29 to 443 of the family's 1533-position model. The record is from RNAcentral.